GACGGAGGAUGCAAGCGUUAUCCGGAAUGCUUGGGCGUAAAGCGUCCGCAGGUGGCAGUUCAAGUCUGCUGUCAAAGACCGGGGCUCAACCUCGGAAAGGCAGUGGAAACUGAACAGCUAGAGUAUGGUAGGGGCAGAGGGAAUUCCUGGUGUAGCGGUGAAAUGCGCAGAGAUCAGGAAGAACAUCGGUGGCGAAGGCGGGCUGCUGGACCAUAACUGACGCUCAGGGGCGAAAGCUAGGGGAGCGAAUGGG
Molecule: ribosomal RNA, 253 nt
Filed under: uncultured bacterium
Lineage: Bacteria
Description: partial 16S ribosomal RNA
Rfam family: Bacterial small subunit ribosomal RNA
Source: RNAcentral